GAACGCGAAGAACCUUACCAGGGCUUGACAUCUUGCGAAUCCGAUGGAAACAUUGGAGUGCCCUUUAAGGGAACGCAAAGACAGGUGGUGCAUGGUUGUCGUCAGCUCGUGUCGUGAGAUGUUGGGUUAAGUCCCGCAACGAGCGCAACCCUUGCCCUUAGUUGCCAGCAUGGAAGGUGGGCACUCUAAGGGGACUGCCGGUGACAAACCGGAGGAAGGUGGGGAUGACGUCAAAUCAUCAUGCCCUUUAUGUCCUGGGCUACACACGUGCUACAAUGGCCGGUACAGAGGGUAGCGAAAGGGCGACCUGGAGCCAAUCCAAGAAAGCCGGUCGUAGUUCGGAUUGCAGGCUGCAACCCGCCUGCAUGAAGUCGGAAUCGCUAGUAAUCGCGGAUCAGCAUGCCGCGGUGAAUACGUUCCCGGGUCUUGUACACACCG
This 438-nucleotide ribosomal RNA is filed under the name uncultured bacterium. RNAcentral's name for it is "bacterial SSU rRNA". It matches the Rfam family "Bacterial small subunit ribosomal RNA", at positions 957 to 1392 of the family's 1533-position model. The record is from RNAcentral.